UCAAGCUAAUAAGGGCUGUUGGUGGAUGCCUUGGCAUCGAGAGGCGAUGAAGGACGCGCAUACCUGCGAUAAGCUCCGGCGAGCUGGAAAGAAGCAUUGAGCCGGAGAUUUCCGAAUGGGGAAACCCAAUGGAGCUAAUCCUCCAUUAUCAUUAAUUGAAUACAUAGAUUAGUGAGGCAAACCUGCUGAAUUGAGACAUCUAAGUAGGCAGAGGAAAAUAAAUCAAAAGAGAUUCCCGUAGUAGCGGCGAGCGAAGUGGGAAUAGCCCAAACCGGAAAUUUAUUUUCGGGGUUGUAGGACUAAUCAUAAAAGCUUAAAUAAACUUAACAUAACCAUCUGGGAAGUUGGGCGAUACAGGGUGAAAGCCCCGUGUGUAAAAGGUAAGUUUAAGUGAGGUUAGCACCUGAGUAGGGCCGGACACGUGAAACCCGGUCUGAAUCUGGGGAGACCACUCUCCAAGGCUAAAUACUACUCGAUGACCGAUAGUGCACAAGUACAGUGAUGGAAAGGUGAAAAGAACCCCUGUUAGGGGAGUGAAAUAGAAUCUGAAACCAGCAGCCUACAAGCGGUCAGAGGCCUAUGCUUCCUUUUAGGAAGGAUGGCUGAUGGCGUGCCUUUUGCAUGAUGAGCCAGCGAGUUAUGUUGUACGGCUAGGUUAAGGGACAUCCGUUCCGGAGCCGAAGUGAAAGCGAGCGUUAAUAGCGCAUUGAGUCGUAUGAUGUAGACACGAAACCAAGUGAUCUAUCCAUGGUCAGGAUGAAGCAGGGGUAAAACCUUGUGAAGGUCCGAACCAGUAUCUGUUGAAAAAGAUUUGGAUGAACUGUGGAUAGGGGUGAAAGGCCAAUCAAACUUGGAGAUAUCUUGUUCUCUUCGAAAUAACUUUAGGGUUAGCCUCGACUUUGAGACUCAUAGGGGUAGAGCACUGGAUUCCCGCGGGGGCCUACCGGCCUACCAACGGAAACCAAACUCCGAAUACUAUGAGUUAAGUCGGGAGAUAGACAGUGGGGGAUAAGCUUCAUUGUCGAAAGGGGAACAGCCCAGAUCGCCGAUUAAGGCCCCUAAUUCUAUGCUAAGUGAGUAAGGAUGUGAAGUUUCAUAGACAGUUGGAAUGUUGGCUUAGAGGCAGCCAUCAUUUAAAGAGUGCGUAAUAGCUCACCAAUCGAGAGACUUUGCGCCGAUAAUGAUCGGGACUAAAGCAUAGAGCCGAAAUCGCGGGUGUGCCACUUUGUGGUACGCGGUAGGAGAGCGUAGUAUGUGCGAUGAAGAUAUACCGUGAGGAGUGUUGGAGCGCAUACUAGUGAGGAUGCAUGGCAUAAGUACACGAUAAAGGGAGUGAGAAUCUCCCUCGCCGAAAACCUAAGGUUUCCAGGGUAAAGCUCGUCUUCCCUGGGUUAGCCGGUCCCUAAGCUGAGGCUGAAAAGCGUAAGCGAUGGAAAGCAGGUUAAAUAUUCCUGCGCCACCUAAAACUAUAACAAUGGGGUGACGGAGUAAGUUAAGCACGCGGGCUAUUGGAUGUCCGUUUUUGUAUGAGGCUGGUCAGUAGGUAAAUCCGCUGACGGAAAGCUAGGUAUGAGACAAGGGGAAUCUUCGGAGGAACCGAUGGUGUAGCGCAAUGCUUCCAAGAAAUAACCUCUAGUUGUUGAUGGUGACCGUACCAAAACCGACACAGGUAGGUGGGAUGAAUAUUCUCAGGCGCGCGAGAGAACUCUCGUUAAGGAACUCGGCAAAUUGUCCUCGUAACUUCGGGAGAAGAGGAGCCCUUGGACGUGAUACCUUCGCGGUUAAGCGUUUGGGGGCCGCAGAGAAUCGGCCCAGGCGACUGUUUAGCAAAAACACAGCACUAUGCAAACUCGUUUAAGAGGAAGUAUAUGGUGUGAUGCCUGCCCAAUGCCAAAAGGUCAAUAGGAGAUGUCAGUCCUUCGGGACGAAGCAUUGAAUUUAAGCCCUGGUGAAUGGCGGCCGUAACAAUAACGGUCCUAAGGUAGCGAAAUUCCUUGUCGGGUAAGUUCCGACCUGCACGAAUGGCGUAACGAUCUGGGCACUGUCUCAACGAGAGACUCGGUGAAAUUGUAGUAGCGGUGAAGAUGCCGUUUACCCGCAGCUAGACGGAAAGACCCCGUGAACCUUUACUGUACUCUGAUAUUGGCUUUUGACUUGUCAUGUGUAGGAUAACCGGGAGACGGUGAAGGAGGCUCGUUAGGGCUUCUGGAGUCAUCCUUGAAAUACCGGUCUUGACAUGUCGGAAAUCUAACGUUGCCCCAUGAAUCUGGGGGACGAACAUUGUCAGACGGGCAGUUUGACUGGGGCGGUUUCCUCCCAAAAAGUAACGGAGGAGUCCAAAGCUUGUCUCAUCGUGGUUGGCAAUCACGAGUAGAGCGCAAAAGUAUAAGACAAGUUGACUGCGAGACCAGCGAGUCGAGCAGGUACGAAAGUAGGGUUUAGUGAUCCGGCGGUGGAAAGUGGAAUCGCCGUCGCUUAACGGAUAAAAGGUACUCCGGGGAUAACAGGCUUAUCGCCACCAAGAGUUCAUAUCGACGUGGCGGUUUGGCACCUCGAUGUCGGCUCAUCGCAUCCUGGGGCUGAAGAAGGUCCCAAGGGUUUGGCUGUUCGCCAAUUAAAGCGGUACGCGAGCUGGGUUCAAAACGUCGUGAGACAGUUUGGUCCCUAUCUGCUGUGGGCGUAGGAUACUUGAGAAGAGCUGCUUCUAGUACGAGAGGACCGAAGUGGACGGACCAAUGGUGUUCCGGUUGUCCUGCCAAGGGCAUCGCCGGGUAGCUAAGUUCGGAAAGGAUAAGCGUUGAAAGCAUCUAAACGCCAAGCCCCCUUCAAGAUAAAGUAUCCCUAUGAGAUGACCUGAAGACGACAGGGUUGAUAGGCUGGGUGUGGAAGCGUAGCAAUACGUUGAGCUAACCAGUACUAAUACAUCCAUCGGCUUGAUCUU
Molecule: ribosomal RNA, 2941 nt
Filed under: Xenoturbella bocki
Lineage: Eukaryota; Metazoa; Xenacoelomorpha; Xenoturbellidae
Description: bacterial LSU rRNA
Rfam family: Bacterial large subunit ribosomal RNA
Source: RNAcentral